Molecule: ribosomal RNA, 497 nt
Filed under: uncultured bacterium
Lineage: Bacteria
Description: partial 16S ribosomal RNA
Rfam family: Bacterial small subunit ribosomal RNA
Source: RNAcentral
GAUGAACGCUGGCGGCGUGCCUAAUACAUGCAAGUCGAGCGAACGGACGAGAAGCUUGCUUCUCUGAUGUUAGCGGCGGACGCGUGAGUAACACGUGGAUAACCUACCUAUAAGACUGGGAUAACUUCGGGAAACCGGAGCUAAUACCGGAUAAUAUUUUGAACCGCAUGGUUCAAAAGUAAAAGACGGUCUUGCUGUCACUUAUAGAUGGAUCCGCGCUGCAUUAGCUAGUUGGUAAGGUAACGGCUUACCAAGGCAACGAUGCAUAGCCGACCUGAGAGGGUGAUCGGCCACACUGGAACUGAGACACGGUCCAGACUCCUACGGGAGGCAGCAGUAGGGAAUCUUCCGCAAUGGGCGAAAGCCUGACGGAGCAACGCCGCGUGAGUGAUGAAGGUCUUCGGAUCGUAAAACUCUGUUAUUAGGGAAGAACAUAUGUGUAAGUAACUGCGCACAUCUUGACGGUACCUAAUCAGAAAGCCACGGCUAACUACGUG